Molecule: ribosomal RNA, 550 nt
Filed under: uncultured bacterium
Lineage: Bacteria
Description: bacterial SSU rRNA
Rfam family: Bacterial small subunit ribosomal RNA
Source: RNAcentral
UAGGGAAUCUUCGGCAAUGGGGGCAACCCUGACCGAGCAACGCCGCGUGAGUGAAGAAGGUUUUCGGAUCGUAAAGCUCUGUUGUAAGUCAAGAACGAGUGUGAGAGUGGAAAGUUCACACUGUGACGGUAGCUUACCAGAAAGGGACGGCUAACUACGUGCCAGCAGCCGCGGUAAUACGUAGGUCCCGAGCGUUGUCCGGAUUUAUUGGGCGUAAAGCGAGCGCAGGCGGUUUGAUAAGUCUGAAGUUAAAGGCUGUGGCUCAACCAUAGUUCGCUUUGGAAACUGUCAAACUUGAGUGCAGAAGGGGAGAGUGGAAUUCCAUGUGUAGCGGUGAAAUGCGUAGAUAUAUGGAGGAACACCGGUGGCGAAAGCGGCUCUCUGGUCUGUAACUGACGCUGAGGCUCGAAAGCGUGGGGAGCGAACAGGAUUAGAUACCCUGGUAGUCCACGCCGUAAACGAUGAGUGCUAGGUGUUGGAUCCUUUCCGGGAUUCAGCGUCGCAGCUAACGCAUUAAGCACUCCGCCUGGGGAGUACNACCGCAAGGUUG